RNAcentral lists this long non-coding RNA (331 nucleotides) under Mytilus galloprovincialis (Mediterranean mussel). The record is from RNAcentral. Lineage: Eukaryota; Metazoa; Mollusca; Bivalvia; Mytilida; Mytilidae.
UAUAUUACAGUGCUUAUCCAGUGACCUUUGGGGUAUCACAAUAGCAAUGGCUAAAACAGUUUACCAAAUUGCAGUUUGAAUUCUUCUCCCACAAACUGAUCAAAUGGUAAAAUAUUUUAUCAGAUUGCUCAAGUGAAAUGUUGUUAGUAUGAAGUGAGUGCUGUAAAAUCAAAAGUAAUACUUAACAUCCAGAUCCAGUUAGUUGUUAUCUUUGUCAUUCUUUUCAAACACAAUAAUGACUUACUAUAGUACGAGUCACUGAAUAAGAAGGUCUAAUAUUGACCAGGAAAAUUCUAUCAUAAAUAGAUUUUAUAAAUAAAUAGUUCAAACC